CCCAAACCGAUCCACAUAAUGGUUAUGGGGUAGUCGGGGCAGUGAUAGCCUAUGGAGCAAACCACAUGGGCCAGGGAUGACUCCCUGAGCUCACUGGGUGGUUGGAUUUGAGGAGCUGGAAGCGAAUCUGUCAGGUUCACACUCAUU
This is a long non-coding RNA of Dermochelys coriacea (leatherback sea turtle), 147 nucleotides long. RefSeq lists it as uncharacterized. Lineage: Eukaryota; Metazoa; Chordata; Testudines; Dermochelyidae. The transcript is spliced from 3 exons. The record is from RefSeq and is a predicted model, not a curated record.